UUAAGUUAUUAAGGGCGCACGGUGGAUGCCUUGGCACUAGAAGCCGAUGAAGGACGUUACUAACGACGAUAUGCUUUGGGGAGCUGUAAGUAAGCUUUGAUCCAGAGAUUUCCGAAUGGGGAAACCCAGCAUGAGUUAUGUCAUGUUAUCGAUAUGUGAAUACAUAGCAUAUCAGAAGGCACACCCGGAGAACUGAAACAUCUUAGUACCCGGAGGAAGAGAAAGAAAAUUCGAUUCCCUUAGUAGCGGCGAGCGAAACGGGAAGAGCCCAAACCAAAAAGCUUGCUUGUUGGGGUUGUAGGACACUCUAUACGGAGUUACAAAGGACGACAUUAGACGAAUCAUCUGGAAAGAUGAAUCAAAGAAGGUAAUAAUCCUGUAGUCGAAAAUGUUGUCUCUCUUGAGUGGAUCCUGAGUACGACGGAGCACGUGAAAUUCCGUCGGAAUCUGGGAGGACCAUCUCCUAAGGCUAAAUACUCUCUAGUGACCGAUAGUGAACCAGUACCGUGAGGGAAAGGUGAAAAGCACCCCGGAAGGAGAGUGAAAUAGAACCUGAAACCGUGUGCUUACAAGUAGUCAGAGCCCGUUAAUGGGUGAUGGCGUGCCUUUUGUAGAAUGAACCGGCGAGUUACGAUUUGAUGCAAGGUUAAGCAGUAAAUGUGGAGCCGUAGCGAAAGCGAGUCUGAAUAGGGCGUUUAGUAUUUGGUCGUAGACCCGAAACCAGGUGAUCUACCCUUGGUCAGGUUGAAGUUCAGGUAACACUGAAUGGAGGACCGAACCGACUUACGUUGAAAAGUGAGCGGAUGAACUGAGGGUAGCGGAGAAAUUCCAAUCGAACCUGGAGAUAGCUGGUUCUCUCCGAAAUAGCUUUAGGGCUAGCCUCAAGUGAUGAUUAUUGGAGGUAGAGCACUGUUUGGACGAGGGGCCCCUCUCGGGUUACCGAAUUCAGACAAACUCCGAAUGCCAAUUAAUUUAACUUGGGAGUCAGAACAUGGGUGAUAAGGUCCGUGUUCGAAAGGGAAACAGCCCAGACCACCAGCUAAGGUCCCAAAAUAUAUGUUAAGUGGAAAAGGAUGUGGCGUUGCCCAGACAACUAGGAUGUUGGCUUAGAAGCAGCCAUCAUUUAAAGAGUGCGUAAUAGCUCACUAGUCGAGUGACACUGCGCCGAAAAUGUACCGGGGCUAAACAUAUUACCGAAGCUGUGGAUUGUCCUUUGGACAAUGGUAGGAGAGCGUUCUAAGGGCGUUGAAGCAUGAUCGUAAGGACAUGUGGAGCGCUUAGAAGUGAGAAUGCCGGUGUGAGUAGCGAAAGACGGGUGAGAAUCCCGUCCACCGAUUGACUAAGGUUUCCAGAGGAAGGCUCGUCCGCUCUGGGUUAGUCGGGUCCUAAGCUGAGGCCGACAGGCGUAGGCGAUGGAUAACAGGUUGAUAUUCCUGUACCACCUAUAAUCGUUUUAAUCGAUGGGGGACGCAGUAGGAUAGGCGAAGCGUGCGAUUGGAUUGCACGUCUAAGCAGUAAGGCUGAGUAUUAGGCAAAUCCGGUACUCGUUAAGGCUGAGCUGUGAUGGGGAGAAGACAUUGAGUCUUCGAGUCGUUGAUUUCACACUGCCGAGAAAAGCCUCUAGAUAGAAAAUAGGUGCCCGUACCGCAAACCGACACAGGUAGUCAAGAUGAGAAUUCUAAGGUGAGCGAGCGAACUCUCGUUAAGGAACUCGGCAAAAUGACCCCGUAACUUCGGGAGAAGGGGUGCUCUUUAGGGUUAACGCCCAGAAGAGCCGCAGUGAAUAGGCCCAAGCGACUGUUUAUCAAAAACACAGGUCUCUGCUAAACCGUAAGGUGAUGUAUAGGGGCUGACGCCUGCCCGGUGCUGGAAGGUUAAGAGGAGUGGUUAGCUUCUGCGAAGCUACGAAUCGAAGCCCCAGUAAACGGCGGCCGUAACUAUAACGGUCCUAAGGUAGCGAAAUUCCUUGUCGGGUAAGUUCCGACCCGCACGAAAGGCGUAACGAUUUGGGCACUGUCUCAACGAGAGACUCGGUGAAAUCAUAGUACCUGUGAAGAUGCAGGUUACCCGCGACAGGACGGAAAGACCCCGUGGAGCUUUACUGUAGCCUGAUAUUGAAAUUCGGCACAGCUUGUACAGGAUAGGUAGGAGCCUUUGAAACGUGAGCGCUAGCUUACGUGGAGGCGCUGGUGGGAUACUACCCUAGCUGUGUUGGCUUUCUAACCCGCACCACUUAUCGUGGUGGGAGACAGUGUCAGGCGGGCAGUUUGACUGGGGCGGUCGCCUCCUAAAAGGUAACGGAGGCGCUCAAAGGUUCCCUCAGAAUGGUUGGAAAUCAUUCAUAGAGUGUAAAGGCAUAAGGGAGCUUGACUGCGAGACCUACAAGUCGAGCAGGGUCGAAAGACGGACUUAGUGAUCCGGUGGUUCCGCAUGGAAGGGCCAUCGCUCAACGGAUAAAAGCUACCCCGGGGAUAACAGGCUUAUCUCCCCCAAGAGUUCACAUCGACGGGGAGGUUUGGCACCUCGAUGUCGGCUCAUCGCAUCCUGGGGCUGUAGUCGGUCCCAAGGGUUGGGCUGUUCGCCCAUUAAAGCGGUACGCGAGCUGGGUUCAGAACGUCGUGAGACAGUUCGGUCCCUAUCCGUCGUGGGCGUAGGAAAUUUGAGAGGAGCUGUCCUUAGUACGAGAGGACCGGGAUGGACAUACCUCUGGUGUACCAGUUGUCGUGCCAACGGCAUAGCUGGGUAGCUAUGUGUGGACGGGAUAAGUGCUGAAAGCAUCUAAGCAUGAAGCCCCCCUCAAGAUGAGAUUUCCCAACUUCGGUUAUAAGAUCCCUCAAAGAUGAUGAGGUUAAUAGGUUCGAGGUGGAAGCAUGGUGACAUGUGGAGCUGACGAAUACUAAUCGAUCGAAGACUUAAUCAA
Molecule: ribosomal RNA, 2920 nt
Filed under: Staphylococcus aureus
Lineage: Bacteria; Bacillati; Bacillota; Bacilli; Caryophanales; Staphylococcaceae
Description: bacterial LSU rRNA
Rfam family: Bacterial large subunit ribosomal RNA
Source: RNAcentral